CUCAUAUUGAACGCUGGCGGCAGGCCUAACACAUGCAAGUCGAACGGUAACAGGAAGAAGCUUGCUUCUUUGCUGACGAGUGGCGGACGGGUGAGUAAUGUCUGGGAAACUGCCUGAUGGAGGGGGAUAACUACUGGAAACGGUAGCUAAUACCGCAUAACGUCGCAAGACCAAAGAGGGGGACCUUCGGGCCUCUUGCCAUCGGAUGUGCCCAGAUGGGAUUAGCUAGUAGGUGGGGUAAAGGCUCACCUAGGCGACGAUCCCUAGCUGGUCUGAGAGGAUGACCAGCCACACUGGAACUGAGACACGGUCCAGACUCCUACGGGAGGCAGCAGUGGGGAAUAUUGCACAAUGGGCGCAAGCCUGAUGCAGCCAUGCCGCGUGUAUGAAGAAGGCCUUCGGGUUGUAAAGUACUUUCAGCGGGGAGGAAGGGAGUAAAGUUAAUACCUUUGCUCAUUGACGUUACCCGCAGAAGAAGCACCGGCUAACUCCGUGCCAGCAGCCGCGGUAAUACGGAGGGUGCAAGCGUUAAUCGGAAUUACUGGGCGUAAAGCGCACGCAGGCGGUUUGUUAAGUCAGAUGUGAAAUCCCCGGGCUCAACCUGGGAACUGCAUCUGAUACUGGCAAGCUUGAGUCUCGUAGAGGGGGGUAGAAUUCCAGGUGUAGCGGUGAAAUGCGUAGAGAUCUGGAGGAAUACCGGUGGCGAAGGCGGCCCCCUGGACGAAGACUGACGCUCAGGUGCGAAAGCGUGGGGAGCAAACGGGAUUAGAUACCCUGGUAGUCCACGCCGUAAACGAUGUCGACUUGGAGGUUGUGCCCUUGAGGCGUGGCUUCCGGAGCUAACGCGUUAAGUCGACCGCCUGGGGAGUACGGCCGCAAGGUUAAAACUCAAAUGAAUUGACGGGGGCCCGCACAAGCGGUGGAGCAUGUGGUUUAAUUCGAUGCAACGCGAAGAACCUUACCUGGUCUGGACAUCCACAGAACUUUCCAGAGAUGGAUUGGUGCCUUCGGGAACUGUGAGACAGGUGCUGCAUGGCUGUCGUCAGCUCGUGUUGUGAAAUGUUGGGUUAAGUCCCGCAACGAGCGCAACCCUUAUCCUUUGUUGCCAGCGGUCCGGCCGGGAACUCAAAGGAGACUGCCAGUGAUAAACUGGAGGAAGGUGGGGAUGACGUCAAGUCAUCAUGGCCCUUACGACCAGGGCUACACACGUGCUACAAUGGCGCAUACAAAGAGAAGCGACCUCGCGAGAGCAAGCGGACCUCAUAAAGUGCGUCGUAGUCCGGAUUGGAGUCUGCAACUCGACUCCAUGAAGUCGGAAUCGCUAGUAAUCGUGGAUCAGAAUGCCACGGUGAAUACGUUCCCGGGCCUUGUACACACCGCCCGUCACACCAUGGGAGUGGGUUGCAAAAGAAGUAGGUAGCUUAACCUUCGGGAGGGCGCUUACCACUUUGU
Molecule: ribosomal RNA, 1452 nt
Filed under: uncultured organism
Description: SSU rRNA
Rfam family: Bacterial small subunit ribosomal RNA
Source: RNAcentral